GAUGAACGCUGGCGGCGUGCCUAAUACAUGCAAGUCGAGCGAACAGAUGAGGAGCUUGCUCCUCUGACGUUAGCGGCGGACGGGUGAGUAACACGUGGAUAACCUACCUAUAAGACUGGGAUAACUUCGGGAAACCGGAGCUAAUACCGGAUAAUAUAUUGAACCGCAUGGUUCACUAGUGAAAGCCGGUUUUGCUGUCACUUAUAGAUGGAUCCGCGCCGCAUUAGCUAGUUGGUAAGGUAACGGCUUACCAAGGCAACGAUGCGUAGCCGACCUGAGAGGGUGAUCGGCCACACUGGAACUGAGACACGGUCCAGACUCCUACGGGAGGCAGCAGUAGGGAAUCUUCCGCAAUGGGCGAAAGCUUGACGGAGCAACGCCGCGUGAGUGAUGAAGGUCUUCGGAUCGUAAAACUCUGUUAUUAGGGAAGAACAAAUGUGUAAGUAACUAUGCACGUCUUGACGGUACCUAAUCAGAAAGCCACGGCUAACUACGUG
Molecule: ribosomal RNA, 497 nt
Filed under: uncultured bacterium
Lineage: Bacteria
Description: partial 16S ribosomal RNA
Rfam family: Bacterial small subunit ribosomal RNA
Source: RNAcentral